This 522-nucleotide ribosomal RNA is filed under the name uncultured bacterium. Its description in RNAcentral is "bacterial SSU rRNA". It matches the Rfam family "Bacterial small subunit ribosomal RNA", at positions 962 to 1501 of the family's 1533-position model. The record is from RNAcentral.
CGCAGAACCUUACCAACCCUUGACAUACUUGUCGCGGAUUCCAGAGAUGGAUUCCUUCAGUUCGGCUGGACAAUGUACAGGUGCUGCAUGGCUGUCGUCAGCUCGUGUCGUGAGAUGUUCGGUUAAGUCCGGCAACGAGCGCAACCCACGUCCUUAGUUACCAGCAUUUAGUUGGGUACCCUAAGGAGACUGCCGGUGAUAAGCCGGAGGAAGGUGUGGACGACGUCAAGUCAUCAUGGCCCUUACGGGUUGGGCUACACACGUGCUACAAUGGCAUCUACAGUGAGUUAAUCUCCAAAAGAUGUCUCAGUUCGGAUUGGGGUCUGCAACUCGACCCCAUGAAGUUGGAAUCGCUAGUAAUCGCGGAACAGCAUGCCGCGGUGAAUACGUUCCCGGGCCUUGUACACACCGCCCGUCACACCAUGGGAAUUGGGUCUACCCGAAGGUGGUGCGCCAACUAUUUAUAGAGGCAGCCAACCACGGUAGGUUCAGUGACUGGGGUGAAGUCGUAACAAGGUAACC